Molecule: long non-coding RNA, 687 nt
Organism: Austrofundulus limnaeus
Lineage: Eukaryota; Metazoa; Chordata; Actinopteri; Cyprinodontiformes; Rivulidae
Exons: 3
Source: RefSeq, a predicted model, not a curated record
AAGAAGAAGUGGGGGAGGACGAGCUCCAGUUUUCCCCUUUGGGGACAUUUUUCUUUUCUUUUCUUUUUCUUUUAUUUUAUUUCGUUUUAUUUUUUUAACCUCAAAGUUGUUGAUUCCUAUUUAUAGUGCAGGACCGGAUUUAUGCUGGAAGAGAGCUUGAUCAGAAUCUUUUUCAAUCAACACGGAUCUAGAAGCAGACCCCUUGUUCCAGCUUGGAGCUGCCCCAAGCCGCUCCGAGGUGUUAAGUUGUACCCACAAGGGACCGCUCUGAAAUCGGGCGACAUCGCUGAACCAACUUCGCUCAAACUCCGGUACCCUGGGACAGCCUUGCAAGCAUCUGAAGUGGGGGAGUGGUGGUGCAGAAGCUAGUGACGUGAAAGCCUGUGAUCAGUCAUCCUGUAACCUGAGUUGCUAGUUCAAUCCCCUGUUCCAUCCAACUCAUUUACCGUGUUCUUGGGCAAGACACUUCACCCGCCUAGCUGACUGAUGAUCAUCAGAGGGUCCGAGGGCAUGGUCUAUGGCAGCUCCACCUCUGUCAGUGUGCCCCAAGGCAGCAGUGGCUACAGUCUACCAUGUGCAUCCUUUCAGAUGGCGGCCCACAAUGUCAAAACAACAUAAUGGAUAUGGUGACAAAUAAAUGUUUGGAUCAUUUUUCAAAAGAACAAACAUUCAAUAACAAGUCUUUAA